AACUGCAUGUCUAUUAAAUGCAAAUGAACUAAAAGGUGAAAGUGAAUGAUUCUCUAUUGAAUAAAACCCUACAUUCAACUCUAAUCCAAACGCUUAUCUUAAUAUUUUAGGAUUGGGUUUAGGGUUAGAUUUUAAGCUUAGGUUAAGGUUAGGGUUAGGUGUAGGGUUAGAUUUUAGGGUUGAUUAAGGUUUAAGGUUAGGGUUAGGUGUAGGGUUAGAUUUUAGGGUUGAUUAAGGGUUAAGGUUAGGGUUAGGUGUAGG
This is a long non-coding RNA of Astyanax mexicanus (Mexican tetra), 261 nucleotides long. RefSeq lists it as uncharacterized. The record is from RefSeq and is a predicted model, not a curated record. The transcript has 3 exons. NCBI's taxonomy places the organism in Eukaryota, Metazoa, Chordata, Actinopteri, Characiformes, Acestrorhamphidae.